Molecule: long non-coding RNA, 458 nt
Organism: Pseudopipra pipra
Lineage: Eukaryota; Metazoa; Chordata; Aves; Passeriformes; Pipridae
Exons: 2
Source: RefSeq, a predicted model, not a curated record
GGACGCGCCCGGCCGGGCACUCACUGCCCGCCGAGCCCCUCGGGCCUCACCGACACGGCCCGGAGCGGGACCUGCCCUCGGGAGGGAGUCUGCCAGGAGCGGUAUGGAGUCGGCUUGGAAGCCCUGUGUCCCGCGGUCCCUCGCUGAAAUCGGAUUGGAAGGACUGGAGCCACAGCAGCUGGGGAGCCACAGAGAGGUAUGUCAUGGACAGUGUGCUGCUCCACGCCAGCCUGGCUGGUCAGGGCAGUGCUUGUCACAGUUCCGUAGAGACACCACCGGGAAAACACCCUGCACUUAGAGAUCACUUAUCUCGAGUUUCCCCUUCAAAUCCACAUUCAGACUGAAGCCGAACAUCGUCCAAAAAUGGUGAGAGAUGACAGGCAUUGAAAAGGUAGCUUCAUUCCAAGCCUGUUCUCCUUGUGGGUCCCUCCUGUCUAAAUAAAGCUGUGGUACUUGUG